Molecule: long non-coding RNA, 415 nt
Filed under: Numida meleagris (helmeted guineafowl)
Lineage: Eukaryota; Metazoa; Chordata; Aves; Galliformes; Numididae
Description: lncRNA (ENSNMEG00000018984.1)
Source: RNAcentral
GGAUACUCUCAUCAGCUUUCUUACAAAGUCUGAUCAAUGUAAAACACUAUCAGUCACUUGGGAUGUCACCUGCUAGGAACUUGGAGAUCAACAACUGCUAUGUGAAUUAGAGGAGUAUAACCAAUGUCAGAGCAAAUAGGAGUGGCUUAAGUUCCUGAACUCCCUAUGGCAAAACAGGAAUUUGAAGAGGAAUUUUUUCAGAGAAGUCCUGGAGCCUGUGCUGCUGAGAAUGGAUGAUCUCCAUUUCCUUCUCUUGUCAUCUACCAUUUUGUGAACAAUGCAGUUUAACUCUCAGAGCUCACAAAAAGGGAAUUACAGUACUUGCACACUCCUUUUGGGGAUGGAGUCCUAAAAGUACCAGGCAACUUCAGCUCUCUGUCAUCAGCCUGCUCUUGACUUUUGAAAGAGAUUUGUU